GCCAGGCACAGGAUGGUCUCCUGUCAUCUCAGCUACUUGGGAGGCUGAGGCAGGAGGACUGCUUGAGCCCAGGGGUCCAAAGCCAGCCUGGGCAACAUGGUGAGAGUCUCUCUCUC
RNAcentral lists this small RNA (116 nucleotides) under Marmota monax (woodchuck). The record is from RNAcentral. Lineage: Eukaryota; Metazoa; Chordata; Mammalia; Rodentia; Sciuridae.